AACGAACGCUGGCGGCAGGCUUAACACAUGCAAGUCGAACGCCCCGCAAGGGGAGUGGCAGACGGGUGAGUAACGCGUGGGAACAGACCCUUUUCUACGGAAUAGCCCUGGGAAACUGGAAUUAAUACCGUAUACGCCCUACGGGGGAAAGAGUUAUCGGGGAAGGAUUGGCCCGCGUUGGAUUAGCUAGUUGGUGGGGUAAAGGCCUACCAAGGCGACGAUCCAUAGCUGGUCUGAGAGGAUGAGCCGCCACAUUGGGACUGCGACACGGCCCACACUCCUACGGGAGGCAGCAGUGGGGAAUAUUGGACGAUGGGCGCAAGCCUGAUCCAGCCAUGCCGCGUGAGUGAUGAAGGCCUUAGGGUUGUAAAGCUCUUUCACCGAUGAAGAUAAUGACGGUAGUCGGAGAAGAAGCCCCGGCUAACUUCGUG
This 431-nucleotide ribosomal RNA is filed under the name uncultured bacterium. Its description in RNAcentral is "partial 16S ribosomal RNA". It matches the Rfam family "Bacterial small subunit ribosomal RNA", at positions 29 to 507 of the family's 1533-position model. The record is from RNAcentral.